RNAcentral lists this ribosomal RNA (433 nucleotides) under uncultured bacterium. RNAcentral describes it as "partial 16S ribosomal RNA". It matches the Rfam family "Bacterial small subunit ribosomal RNA", at positions 29 to 507 of the family's 1533-position model. The record is from RNAcentral.
AAUGAACGCUGGCGGCAUGCCUAACACAUGCAAGUCGAACGAAGGCUUCGGCCUUAGUGGCGCACGGGUGCGUAACGCGUGGGAAUCUGCCCUUGGGUUCGGAAUAACAGUUAGAAAUGACUGCUAAUACCGGAUGAUGUCGUAAGACCAAAGAUUUAUCGCCCAAGGAUGAGCCCGCGUAGGAUUAGCUAGUUGGUGGGGUAAAGGCCUACCAAGGCGACGAUCCUUAGCUGGUCUGAGAGGAUGAUCAGCCACACUGGGACUGAGACACGGCCCAGACUCCUACGGGAGGGAGCAGUGGGGAAUAUUGGACAAGGGGCGAAAGCCUGAUCCAGCAAUGCCGCGUGAGUGAUGAAGGCCUUAGGGUUGUAAAGCUCUUUUACCCGGGAUGAUAAUGACAGUACCGGGAGAAUAAGCUCCGGCUAACUUCGUG